GGUGCGGUGCAGGCGGGCGAGGAGGACGCCCGCCUCCUCCCAGGGGGCGGCGUCCGGGUCGUCCGGGUCCACGGGCGUGCCG
This 82-nucleotide transfer RNA is filed under the name Streptomyces cellulosae. RNAcentral's name for it is "tRNA-Gly". Lineage: Bacteria; Bacillati; Actinomycetota; Actinomycetes; Kitasatosporales; Streptomycetaceae. The record is from RNAcentral.